GACGGUUUAAGGCUUGCAUUAGGUUUAGUCACAGAAAGGACAGCUCUUCGCACCUGAUAGAGACAAGCAUGAAGUGAGAAAGGAGGUCUAGAAAGAGUGUACUCCAGAAUAACUGAUGCCUGGCAAGAUCAUAUAACAGCAGUUCAUAAGCCUAAGUGGCAUUGUAAAAUGAAUGUCAGCCCCACUGAAGUAAGGUCGGUCCUGAAGAGUUUGCUGUAUGUUUAUGUUCAAGAAAGAGAGAAAAAAGGGUACCUCAAUUACACAAAUCCAUAUCUUCUGGAGCAGGAACAGAUUGCCGCUUCUUUGUACAUCCUGAUAAUUGUUGGAUUUUUUGGCUUUCUGCUUUUCUCUCUGAUGAUGAGCAAUAUUGUUUCCCGGCAACGGGAAAACUACAUGGACUACCUUUAUCAAGAGAACUUUCCAAGAAUGAGAAGAAGACCUCCGCACAAUGGAACAUUGCCGGCAGCUGAAAAGAUAUCCAUGUCUAAACCUGCCAGUACUAGCCAGAGCCCAAAGACUGAUGGCAGUACAACAGAAGCAAGUCUGGAAUCAGUACUGAGAAAUGUAUGAAAGUGGAUCCUUGUAUCCUGUAUGGAUUAUUUUUAAUUGUGGGCAUUUUAAUUUUCAAUAUAUUUUCAUUUAAUUUGGCUCAUGGAAUAGUGGGCCUGAACAAUGCCGGAGCAGUUCCUUGUGAGCAUCUUCGAGAGUUCCUAACAGCUGGUAAACUGGCUGGGAUAUCUGGGAGUUGUAGGCCAAAACACCUGGGGACCCACAGAUCGAGAACCACUUUCCUAGAGUAAACUGAAUGGAAAGAAGUGUUUCUUGCUAAACAGUAUAAUGGGUUUCCCAUUCCUGCACCGAAUUGUCUGAAGAUAGACUAUAUCAAGCCAAACCUUGUAUGAAACGUAAUCUACCCAUGUAUAUGUUUGUUCAAUGUGUGUGUUUUUUUAUAAAAGAAGAAAAUAAUCUCUAUAUUUUGAAUCCAACUUUUGCAACAACAACAAAAAAUGUUUUUUAUGCUAUGGCCUAUGUAGGUGCACCUUAUUUUUGUCUCCUAAGUAUCAAGAUUUAUGAAGUAUUUAUUUGUUCAUGCUUGACAGAGAUGAUUAUCCUGAAGGUGUGAAAACAAAAUCAAACAACUUGUCCCAGCAAGAGUUUUCACAGUUUUUUAAAAAACCAAAAAUAUGAAGAGAAACGAAAGUGCAGAGUUUAAACAAGAUUUUGAAUGAAGGCUAAAUUAAAGCCAAAGGCUAUAUUAAAGUGAGUGCAGAAUGAAACACUGCAAGAAACAUGAACUGUUCCCUUUCCCAUGAAAUAAAGCCAAGCCUCCUUCUAAUUAUUGGCUGCUGCAGGUCGGUUUAGGGAAAUCACAGCUGGUGAAGUCAGUAUGUAGCUUAAGAUUUUAGUAGGCAUUGUAAAUGCAAAGUGAAUUUGGGAAACUUGCCAUCUGGGUUAAUUAGUUGUUCAUGCUGUAUUUUAAUAUGCUGUUGUUUCCUGUCCAUCAUCAUCUUUAGUUACAGGACCAUGUUAUCGUAUAAUAUACAACUCCAGGUUAGUAAAGCCUAAUUUAAAUCAAGUCUUAUAGAAGACAGAAAUGGCUCAAAUAGGGGAUUAUUGUCAUGAAAUUAUAGAUAUGCAUAAUUCUUCCCAUAUGCCUUUCCAACAAGACAUCCUCUGGCUGUGACUGACCAAAGCACACAUCAUUUCAGUCCAGUUCUGAAGCAGUCCAGCAAGUCGCUUCAGGUGCAAAGAAUUGGCCAUCUUUAAGGACGUUUGACAGGGGACGCCCAGAUGUUUUGAUGUUUGACCAUACUUGUGGGAGGCUUCUCUCAUAUCCCCGCAUGGUGAGCCGGACCUGACAGAGGGAGCUAAUCUGUGCUCUCCCCAGAUUCGAACCUCCGUCCCAUUGGUGUUCCGUCCUGCUGGCACAAGGGUUUAACCCAUUGCACCACCGUGGGCUCCUAGCCUAGGUUAAAGUGCUGGUUUCCCUAUCAUCUUAUCAUAGGCUAUCAUUUGUGGCUGAGAAUGAUUGUCUUCUAAGGGUAGAGUAUUGAUGGUGAGUCUGUCAGUGACUGUAGUAGAGAAUGUAUAUUUCUAAUAGUUAUCCCCUUUCUUCACGUCAACUAUGAGAAGAGAUAGAAUAGGAUAAGAUGCAGAAAAAGGCAAAUUCUAUUUUUAUAACUUGCAGAAAAUGUAUGUAUGCAUGUGCAGUCGACAAUUCUUCCCUCCCCAUUCAAGUGCCCUUCAGAUGUGGCAUUUAUACAUGGGGAAAGAAGAAGGUUUCAGAUCUAACACAUAGAAUUAAAGAAUCUUAGAGUUGGAAGGGACUGCGAGGGACAUCUAAUCCAACCUCUUUAACCAUUCCUUACAUUGGCAUUUCUUCUCUUUGUCAUUCUGUCUCACCCCAACAUGGCUCUUAUUGUGUCAGAAGCUAAUUGAGGAUGUAGUUAUAAUGUAUUUAAAAACACAAAGUUGAAAAAAAAACUUAGCAUUAUACUAAAUGCCCUUUGACCAGAAGCUGGCCACUUGGAGUGCCUCUGGUGUCAUUGUGAGAAGGUCUUCCAUUGUGCAUGUGGCAGGGCUCAGGCUGCAUUGUAUUAGGUGGUCUUUGAUUUGCUCUUCUCCCCACUUGCAUGUCAUGAAAUCCACUUUGUAGUCCCAUUUCUUAUGGUCGCCUCUGCAGCUCAUAGUGCCAGAGCACAGCCUGUUCAGCGCCUUCCAAGUUGUCCAGCUGUCUGUGUGCCCAGGAGGGAGUCUCUCAUAUCGUAUCAGCUACUGAUUGAGGGUCUGGGUUUUCGUCUGCCACUUUUAGACUCUCACUUAUUGAGGGGUUCCUCCAAGUGUCUAUGUAGAUCUUGGGAGGCUAUUUCUUGAUUUCAGGUGUUGUCUUGCUGGCUGAUAUGGGCCGGAAAUGUCAAUGCCUUGGUCCAAGGCAGGGAUGUGAUUAUGUUUUGCAUAGUGCACAAAGAAGUAAGCGAUGGAUGCUGAUAGUAUUCCCAGGGUUUAUUACUAGUCCAGAUAGAUUUAACCAGAUGGAAGAUAUUUUGGAAUCACUGGGAAUUUUGUCCUGGCUUUAAAGUCUACUCAGAUUUAAAUAGAAGGAAAUGCCACCCACCCUUAUCCCACAUACACACACCUACAGAUAUGACAAGUUGGUUCCUUGUUCAAGGCACUUCCUUCCCAGCUACUUAGUAAGCUGCAGUGUCUGGAGUUUACUGUGCCUUGCCUUUGUAAUUCAAAGAUGUAGGACUUUAUCACAAAAGACAAGAAAAUGGCAUUGAACCUUUUUAUGUGCAUUCCACUGCUGGUCUGUCUUCUCCCCAUGUCCCUGACUAUUAAUGGACGAAACCCACCAAUAGCUCACAAUCCCCCAAUGUUCCAUUCAUCUGUCAUGUACGAUAGGGUUGUUCCACUGCUGUGCCAACAUGCAAGCACAGCAACUGUUUUGUAUUUAUUAAUAUUUUACAUUUAUAUUUGCUU
Anolis sagrei ordinatus is the source of this 3480-nucleotide long non-coding RNA. RefSeq lists it as uncharacterized. The record is from RefSeq and is a predicted model, not a curated record. Lineage: Eukaryota; Metazoa; Chordata; Lepidosauria; Squamata; Anolidae.